This 253-nucleotide ribosomal RNA is filed under the name uncultured bacterium. RNAcentral's name for it is "partial 16S ribosomal RNA". It matches the Rfam family "Bacterial small subunit ribosomal RNA", at positions 524 to 776 of the family's 1533-position model. The record is from RNAcentral.
UACAGAGGGGGCAAGCGUUGUUCGGAAUUACUGGGCGUAAAGGGCGCGUAGGCGGCCUUCUAAGUCGAACGUGAAAUCCCCGGGCUCAACCCGGGAACUGCGUCCGAUACUGGAAGGCUUGAAUCCGGGAGAGGGAUGCGGAAUUCCAGGUGUAGCGGUGAAAUGCGUAGAUAUCUGGAGGAACACCGGUGGCGAAGGCGGCAUCCUGGACCGACAUUGACGCUGAGGCGCGAAAGCCAGGGGAGCAAACGGG